This 496-nucleotide ribosomal RNA is filed under the name uncultured bacterium. RNAcentral's name for it is "partial 16S ribosomal RNA". It matches the Rfam family "Bacterial small subunit ribosomal RNA", at positions 29 to 523 of the family's 1533-position model. The record is from RNAcentral.
AUUGAACGCUGGCGGCAUGCCUUACACAUGCAAGUCGAACGGUAGAGGGGGCAACCCCUUGAGAGUGGCGAACGGGUGAGUAAUGCAUCGGAACGUGCCCAGUCGUGGGGGAUAGCCCGGGGAAACCCGGAUUAAUACCGCAUACGACCUGAGGGUGAAAGCGGGGGACCGCAAGGCCUCGCGCGAUUGGAGCGGCCGAGGUCGGAUUAGCUAGUUGGUGGGGUAAAGGCCUACCAAGGCGACGAUCCGUAGCUGGUCUGAGAGGACGACCAGCCACACUGGGACUGAGACACGGCCCAGACGCCUACGGGAGGCAGCAGUGGGGAAUUUUGGACAAUGGGGGCACCCCUGAUCCAGCCAUGCCGCGUGCGGGAAGAAGGCCUUCGGGUUGUAAACCGCUUUUGUCAGGGAAGAAAUCCUUUGGGUUAAUAACCUGGGGGGAUGACGGUACCUGAAGAAUAAGCACCGGCUAACUACGUGCCAGCCGCCGCCGUAA